Molecule: long non-coding RNA, 581 nt
Organism: Solanum lycopersicum (tomato)
Lineage: Eukaryota; Viridiplantae; Streptophyta; Magnoliopsida; Solanales; Solanaceae
Source: RefSeq, a predicted model, not a curated record
GUGCAACACUAUUUUUAAUGUAAAAAAUGAAACAUCUCACCUUUUGCUUUACUCUCCCUUUCUCUCCCACUUUCUUCUUCUUCCUUCUUUCAACAAUCUAGAGUGUUCUCCGCAUCUAUUCUCACCCUUGCUCAUUUGCUCUUUAUCAAAUUCUGAUAUCGUGUUUAAUCUCUGUUUAGACCUCCAAUUCCUCUUCGUACCUGUUGUAUUACGAUAAUGAUUGUGGUCACGUAUUUGACGAAAUUCCCCAAUGAACACAAUACUUAUGUGUUAUGAAAAUUGAUCAGUUUCAACAGCUGGGUUUGUCUUGGAAGAUGUUAAUCAAGUUGAACUAUCUACUUAGGGAACCCCUAACAACUCCCUAUGCUAUGGUUUUUGGAUGAUGAAGAAGAUCAGCAACUAAAAAUGAACAGCAGCAUCCUCUACAUAUGAUAUGAUAAACAAUCACAUGUUGAUCUCAUAUGUCAAAAAAAAUAUUUUGAUUUUAUUAUCUUAAUUAAUAUGGAUCAUCUUGAUGUCCAAUAUCAGUUGUACAUAUAUUUUGAAUAUCUCUAAUAGUAUAUAGCAUAUCACAUUAUCCA